Molecule: transfer RNA, 72 nt
Filed under: Parcubacteria group bacterium
Lineage: Bacteria
Description: tRNA-Arg
Rfam family: tRNA
About the family: Transfer RNA (tRNA) molecules are approximately 80 nucleotides in length. Their secondary structure includes four short double-helical elements and three loops (D, anti-codon, and T loops). Further hydrogen bonds mediate the characteristic L-shaped molecular structure. tRNAs have two regions of fundamental functional importance: the anti-codon, which is responsible for specific mRNA codon recognition, and the 3' end, to which the tRNAs corresponding amino acid is attached (by aminoacyl-tRNA synthetases). tRNAs cope with the degeneracy of the genetic code in two manners: having more than one tRNA (with a specific anti-codon) for a particular amino acid; and 'wobble' base-pairing, i.e. permitting non-standard base-pairing at the 3rd anti-codon position.
Source: RNAcentral
GCUCUCGUGGUGAAACGGAAAUCAUAACUGCCUUCGAAGCAGUUGUUGCAGGUUCGAAUCCUGCCGAGAGCA